RNAcentral lists this ribosomal RNA (266 nucleotides) under Pseudo-nitzschia fraudulenta. RNAcentral describes it as "partial Bacterial large subunit ribosomal RNA". It matches the Rfam family "Bacterial large subunit ribosomal RNA", at positions 1640 to 1891 of the family's 2925-position model. The record is from RNAcentral. Lineage: Eukaryota; Bacillariophyta; Bacillariophyceae; Bacillariales; Bacillariaceae.
AACCGUACCCCAAACCGACACAGGUGGUCAGGUAGAGAAUACUAAGGCGCUUGAGAGAACUCGGGUGAAGGAACUCGGCAAAAUUGUACCGUAACUUCGGGAGAAGGUACGCCUCUGUUUGUGAACACUUCGCGUGGUAAGCAAAUGGAGGCCGCAGUGACCAGGUGGCUGGGACUGUUUAUUAAAAACACAGCACUGUGCAAACACGAAAGUGGACGUAUACGGUGUGACGCCUGCCCGGUGCCGGAAGGUUAAUUGAUGGGGUU